Biomphalaria glabrata is the source of this 1127-nucleotide long non-coding RNA. RefSeq lists it as uncharacterized. Lineage: Eukaryota; Metazoa; Mollusca; Gastropoda; Planorbidae. The transcript is spliced from 2 exons. The record is from RefSeq and is a predicted model, not a curated record.
CAAUUUAAUAAUAUUAUUUUUUAAUUGUAAUGUUUUCAAAAGAAAUUAACCAAUAUGCCUAAUUGUAUAAUUACAGUUAUGUUUGGAAAUGCAAGAAAAAGGCAUGCAUUCCUGAAAAGUCAAUGAUUGGUUGCACCUCUUAAAGAUAACUUUCUGUUAUGAGAAAAGAUGAGAUUCUUGGACUCCUGCAUAGCACCACCAGAAAGGAAAAUCCCAUCAUGUUGCAAAAUAAAAGUCUUGGACCAAUUUUAAUUUAAGAUAUAUAUAUUAGACUGUAAGCUGUAAUCAUAUUUAUGUAUAUCCUGUCAUUCAGCCAACAGGUUUAGAUUUAGUAUUUCUUUAAAUCUGUUCGAUAUUGUACUUGAAAACUAUUAAUCUGAGCCCCAUUAAAACAAGAGGGAGUGCAGUGGAUGAGUGGUAAGGGAAAUUUUACUUUUUUUUAAAUUAAAAUAAGAAUCUAACCAAAGUAAACAUAUAAAAUAUGGUGCAUUCUCCUUAAAACUAAAACCUGGUGCAAAGGUUUAAAAUGUUGGCAAAAAAAAAAGCAACAUCAAUUAAAUAUUCUUAAUUCCCUUUGCAAAACUUACUGAGAAGAACAUGCAUGUUGUUCCCUCAUAAGUUUCUUGACAGAGGAAAUCUUGUUUAUAUUAGAUUUGAAUUAAGCAAAUUAAGAAAAAAAUUAUAAUGAUUAUUUCAAAUGGUUGUAUCUAAACCUUAUGAAUUAUUUUUCAGUUAUAAGUAUAUUGAAAUUAAUGGAUAAUUAUGAAAUUGUUAAAUAAUUGCUGCUAUCAUUCCAUUGACUAAAGAACCAUAAUUUUUUUUUUAAUUAAUUUCAAAAUUAAUUAAUUAAUUAAUUUUCAAGCAGAGUUCACAUAGAUCUUGAGUGAAAUUUUUCUUUUUUUGACUAAUGCUUCAAUUUUAUUGUAUCAUUAGUUUUUUAUUUUUAUUACCCAGAAUAUUUUAAAAAUGAGUACACUAUUUUCAUGUAAUAAUGUAACUUGGUAUUCACACAUCAAAAUACGCUAUAAUCUUUAGGCCAUAUAGAUUUGUAUAAAUAUAAAUUAACUUGCUUAAAUACAUUGUAAAUGUAUAUUGUUUGGAUAAGAAUAAAGUUUUUCUGUAGACAA